AUAUUUAAUAUAUGACUUUAUGGCCAUCCAGCAUCAUUUAUCACCUACCAAGUGGAUAUUCACUAACUUUGUAUCCCAGGACUCAGUGUAUUGGAAAAUCUGUACAAAGUUCACACCUUAGAUUACAUAUUAAAGGCUAGUAAAGAGAAGGUUUUCUGUCAUCUGGGGUCAGCGGAAAAUGCUGUAAACACAACACUGACAUAUAAUCACAUCAUAAAGUUGGUUUUCCAACACACAUUUGCUUAUAGUUACACAUCCAGCAGUUACAGAGCAACAUUAUGAUUUAUUUGAAGUUGGGAUUCUGGCCAUUGGAUGAAUGGUCUCCAGGUCUCCAAACAGACUCUCUAGGAUGGCAUUAGCAAUAGGGAGCAUCAUGGCUGUGGUGGCGGUGUUGCUGAGCCACAUGGACAGGAAGGAUGAGUGAGGACCUUUAGGGCGAUUCUGCGAUGCAGGCCCCACUCCUCGAUGGACGACGCCAUCACAAGACCGCUGAGGAAGAGAAAAUUGGUUUCCAGGAAGUACUGAGGACAGACUGUUUUGGAUGGAAGAAUUCCCAGUGUUGGGAAGAGGCAGACCGGAAGCAUUGCCGUGACGGCCAGUGGAAGGGCCUCUGUGCACCAAAACAUAGCCAUCAGCACCACCACAUAAAGACAUUUUCCCUCCUAAAAGAUAAGCAACAUGUGGUUGUUAAUGUUUAGCCAACUUUAAAAAGAAAAAUAUGUGACAGGGG
This is a long non-coding RNA of Sander lucioperca (pikeperch), 730 nucleotides long. RefSeq lists it as uncharacterized. The record is from RefSeq and is a predicted model, not a curated record. The transcript is spliced from 3 exons. NCBI's taxonomy places the organism in Eukaryota, Metazoa, Chordata, Actinopteri, Perciformes, Percidae.